This 166-nucleotide ribosomal RNA is filed under the name Bregmaceros japonicus. RNAcentral's name for it is "partial 12S rRNA". The record is from RNAcentral. Lineage: Eukaryota; Metazoa; Chordata; Actinopteri; Gadiformes; Bregmacerotidae.
CACCGCGGUUAUACGAGAGGUUCAAGUUGAUGGUGUGCGGCGUAAAGUGUGGUCUAUUAACUACCCUAAUAGGAUUAAAUAGUCGCAACGCUGUUAUAUGUUUACGUAAUCAUUAAAACCCUUACGAAAGUUAUCCUAAUAUUCUUAACCCACGAGAGCCAAGACC